Non-coding RNA from Arachis ipaensis, 371 nucleotides. Lineage: Eukaryota; Viridiplantae; Streptophyta; Magnoliopsida; Fabales; Fabaceae. The record is from RefSeq and is a predicted model, not a curated record.
UAUUUUGUAUAGGCUUAUCUUAUAUCUUUCAUUGUUAUCAUGUUUAGUUUCCUUAUAUUUUUCCUAUAAAUUAAAAUUGAAAUAUAUAGAUGUGUUGCUGGACAUCACAGCAAGAGGUUGACUAAGUAUGAUAUGAAGGCUGAUCGAUUUUAUAUUCCCUGCGAGUUUGCUAGGUUACUACUUAAGAGUGGAGGAUUGGAAGAUUGGAAAUUUACUGUUAAAGACUCAAAGAUUGCUAAAACCUUUGCAAUGCAUGUCUUGAAAAGUAAGGGCAGGAAUCGAGAGUACAAAAUAGGACCUAAAUGGAAAGAUUUUGUCAGGAUGCAUAAACUUAGGCCUGGAUAUUUAUAUGUAUUUAGCAGUGUUUCGAA